This 425-nucleotide ribosomal RNA is filed under the name uncultured bacterium. Its description in RNAcentral is "bacterial SSU rRNA". It matches the Rfam family "Bacterial small subunit ribosomal RNA", at positions 354 to 796 of the family's 1533-position model. The record is from RNAcentral.
GUGGGGAAUAUUGGACAAUGGGCGAAAGCCUGAUCCAGCCAUGCCGCGUGAGUGAUGAAGGCCUUAGGGUUGUAAAGCUCUUUCAGUAGGGAAGAUAAUGACGGUACCUACAGAAGAAGCCCCGGCUAACUUCGUGCCAGCAGCCGCGGUAAUACGAAGGGGGCUAGCGUUGUUCGGAUUUACUGGGCGUAAAGCGCACGUAGGCGGAUUGGUCAGUUAGAGGUGAAAUCCUGGAGCUCAACUCCAGAACUGCCUUUAAUACUGCCAGUCUAGAGUCCAGAAGAGGUGAGUGGAACUCCUAGUGUAGAGGUGGAAUUCGUAGAUAUUAGGAAGAACACCAGUGGCGAAGGCGGCUCACUGGUCUGGUACUGACGCUGAGGUGCGAAAGCGUGGGGAGCAAACAGGAUUAGAAACCCGGGUAGUCC